GGGUUGUGAGGUUAAGCGACUAAGCGUACACGGUGGAUGCCCUGGCAGUCAGAGGCGAUGAAGGACGUGCUAAUCUGCGAUAAGCGCCGGUAAGGUGAUAUGAACCGUUAUAACCGGCGAUUUCCGAAUGGGGAAACCCAGUGUGAUUCGUCACACUAUCAUUAACUGAAUCCAUAGGUUAAUGAGGCGAACC
This 193-nucleotide ribosomal RNA is filed under the name Salmonella enterica subsp. enterica. RNAcentral describes it as "partial 23S ribosomal RNA". It matches the Rfam family "Bacterial large subunit ribosomal RNA", at positions 1 to 185 of the family's 2925-position model. The record is from RNAcentral. Lineage: Bacteria; Pseudomonadati; Pseudomonadota; Gammaproteobacteria; Enterobacterales; Enterobacteriaceae.